RNAcentral lists this ribosomal RNA (591 nucleotides) under uncultured Burkholderia sp. Its description in RNAcentral is "bacterial SSU rRNA". It matches the Rfam family "Bacterial small subunit ribosomal RNA", at positions 418 to 1003 of the family's 1533-position model. The record is from RNAcentral. Lineage: Bacteria; Pseudomonadati; Pseudomonadota; Betaproteobacteria; Burkholderiales; Burkholderiaceae.
UCGGGUUGUAAAGCACUUUUGUCCGGAAAGAAAACCUCUGGGUUAAUACCCCGGGGGGAUGACGGUACCGGAAGAAUAAGCACCGGCUAACUACGUGCCAGCAGCCGCGGUAAUACGUAGGGUGCAAGCGUUAAUCGGAAUUACUGGGCGUAAAGCGUGCGCAGGCGGUCCGCUAAGACAGAUGUGAAAUCCCCGGGCUUAACCUGGGAACUGCAUUUGUGACUGGCGGGCUAGAGUAUGGCAGAGGGGGGUAGAAUUCCACGUGUAGCAGUGAAAUGCGUAGAGAUGUGGAGGAAUACCGAUGGCGAAGGCAGCCCCCUGGGCCAAUACUGACGCUCAUGCACGAAAGCGUGGGGAGCAAACAGGAUUAGAUACCCUGGUAGUCCACGCCCUAAACGAUGUCAACUAGUUGUCGGGUCUUCAUUGACUUGGUAACGUAGCUAACGCGUGAAGUUGACCGCCUGGGGAGUACGGUCGCAAGAUUAAAACUCAAAGGAAUUGACGGGACCCGCACAAGCGGUGGAUGAUGUGGAUUAAUUCGAUGCAACGCGAAAAACCUUACCUACCCUUGACAUGUAUGGAACCCUGCUG